GACAGAGGGGGCAAGCGUUGUCCGGAUUGACUGGGCGUAAAGCGCACGUAGGUGGUACCUUAAGUCGCGGGUAAAAGCGGGCCGCUUAACGGCCCGAGGCCUGCGAAACUGGGGCACUCGAGCCAUGCAGAGGUGGGUGGAAUUGCCGGUGUAGUGGUGAAAUGCGUAGAGAUCGGCAGGAACACCAAGGGGGAACCCAGCCCACUGGGCAUGUGCUGACACUGUGGUGCGAGAGCGUGGGGAGCGAACCGG
Molecule: ribosomal RNA, 252 nt
Filed under: uncultured prokaryote
Description: partial 16S ribosomal RNA
Rfam family: Bacterial small subunit ribosomal RNA
Source: RNAcentral